This 434-nucleotide ribosomal RNA is filed under the name uncultured bacterium. RNAcentral's name for it is "partial 16S ribosomal RNA". It matches the Rfam family "Bacterial small subunit ribosomal RNA", at positions 29 to 507 of the family's 1533-position model. The record is from RNAcentral.
AGCGAACGCUGGCGGCAGGCCUAACACAUGCAAGUCGAACGGACCUUUCGGGCUUAGUGGCGGAGGGGGGGGUAACACGUGGGAACGUGCCCUUAGGUUCGGAGUCACUCAGGGAAGCAUGUGCUCAUACCGCAUGUGCUCUUCCGGGGUAAGAGUUAUUGCUUUUGGAUGGGCCGGGGUCUGUUUAGCUAGUUGGGUGUGGUCUUGGCGCACCACGGCUACGUGCAGGAGCUGGUGUGAGCAGAUGCUUUGACACAUUGGGACUGAGACACGGUCUAAACUCCUACGGGGCGCAGCAGAGGGGAAUCCUGCGCAAUGGGCGAAAGCCUGACGCAGCCAUGCCGGGUGAAUGAUGAAGGUCUUAGGAUUGUAAAAUUCUUUCUCCGGGGACGAUAAUGACGGUACCCGGAGAAGAAGCCCCGGCUAACUUCGUG